This 460-nucleotide ribosomal RNA is filed under the name uncultured bacterium. Its description in RNAcentral is "partial 16S ribosomal RNA". It matches the Rfam family "Bacterial small subunit ribosomal RNA", at positions 338 to 795 of the family's 1533-position model. The record is from RNAcentral.
CCUACGGGAGGCAGCAGUGAGGAAUAUUGGUCAAUGGACGAGAGUCUGAACCAGCCAAGUAGCGUGAAGGAUGACUGCCCUAUGGGUUGUAAACUUCUUUUAUAUGGGAAUAAAACGUUCCACGUGUGGGAUUUUGUAUGUACCAUAUGAAUAAGGAUCGGCUAACUCCGUGCCAGCAGCCGCGGUAAUACGGAGGAUCCGAGCGUUAUCCGGAUUUAUUGGGUUUAAAGGGAGCGUAGGUGGAUUGUUAAGUCAGUUGUGAAAGUUUGCGGCUCAACCGUAAAAUUGCAGUUGAAACUGGCAGUCUUGAGUACAGUAGUGGUGGGCGGAAUUCGUGGUGUAGCGGUGAAAUGCUUAGAUAUCACGAAGAACUCCGAUUGCGAAGGCAGUUCACUGGACUGCAACUGACACUGAGGCUCGAAAGUGUGGGUAUCAAACAGGAUUAGAUACCCCUGUAGUC